RNAcentral lists this ribosomal RNA (497 nucleotides) under uncultured bacterium. RNAcentral's name for it is "partial 16S ribosomal RNA". It matches the Rfam family "Bacterial small subunit ribosomal RNA", at positions 28 to 507 of the family's 1533-position model. The record is from RNAcentral.
GAUGAACGCUGGCGGCGUGCCUAAUACAUGCAAGUCGAGCGAACAGAUGAGGAGCUUGCUCCUCUGACGUUAGCGGCGGACGGGUGAGUAACACGUGGAUAACCUACCUAUAAGACUGGGAUAACUUCGGGAAACCGGAGCUAAUACCGGAUAAUAUAUUGAACCGCAUGGUUCAAUAGUGAAAGACGGUUUUGCUGUCACUUAUAGAUGGAUCCGCGCCGCAUUAGCUAGUUGGCAAGGUAACGGCUUACCAAGGCAACGAUGCGUAGCCGACCUGAGAGGGUGAUCGGCCACACUGGAACUGAGACAAGGUCCAGACUCCUACGGGAGGCAGCAGUAGGGAAUCUUCCGCAAUGGGCGAAAGCCUGACGGAGCAACGCCGCGUGAGUGAUGAAGGUCUUCGGAUCGUAAAACUCUGUUAUUAGGGAAGAACAAAUGUGUAAGUAACUAUGCACGUCUUGACGGUACCUAAUCAGAAAGCCACGGCUAACUACGUG